Molecule: long non-coding RNA, 1887 nt
Organism: Suricata suricatta (meerkat)
Lineage: Eukaryota; Metazoa; Chordata; Mammalia; Carnivora; Herpestidae
Exons: 2
Source: RefSeq, a predicted model, not a curated record
GAACCCCGGGAACAGUCAAGAAUGUGCCCACCUGUCCUUUGUGUCAUCAGAAGCAGCUUCUAGAUUCCGGAGAAGUAUGGAUGUGUCUCCUUCAGGGCCGCCCACCGCGGGGCUGAGCUCAUGCAGCACACUACUGUUUGGAUUUCGUUUGGGAAAAUAUUACCUGCAGUUUGUUUUCAGAACUUCUUGUAAUGCUGCCAAAGGCCUUUGAGUGACUGUCAGUGUUUCUCAACUCUGUGAUACAAGAAUUGCCUGAGGUUUUUCAGAGACCUCAUCAUCAUGCCCUGUAGAGGGUGCUGGGCACACAGACCUCCCGCCAGGCUCCAGGCAGAAAAGCGGCUACACCAGCACCGGACGCACCCUCCAUCUGAGCCUGCGCAGAGGGCCCGGGUUUUCCAUUCACCACUUCCUGAAGAUUUUCCACCAGCGGGCCAGCGCUCAUCUGAGUUCUUCCAGGCUGGGACUCGCCCCUCCUAGUCUUCGCCACCCCAUCCGCCCCAUCCUGGUAGUUUCUCAGGAGCCCAGUGGUGGGUCCUCUUCCAGUAACUGCCCCCCCUGGCCUCCAGGGGGCUUGGGCCCCACGUGCUGUCUUGUCAACUUCCACCCCUUCCACCGUUCAGGAAGGCAUCAGGGUGCACUCCACCAAAAUGAGGAACACCAAGGAACAGAAGACGGGGGACAGAGGGAGGGGGACCAGGGGCCCUGGGGAGGCCUCCUGACCAUCCUGCAGCAGCUCACAACACAGACCUGCCACAGGGCAUGACCACGGAGCAAACACCUGCCUCCCACAGUCUAUUCAACAUGAAAACAGUGCUCACCAACUGCCUGGCCCACUUCUCUCUGUGUGUUCUCUUCUGUCCCUUCCCUGGAAAGCUGAGCACCUCGCUUCCUGAGCACCUGGGCACACGGAUUUCCAGGUGUGGCAGCCAGCGAGUCUGGAGGCAGAAAGGCCAGAGCAGCGCACUCCCUACGAGCUUCUAAGCAUGUACGCUCCUGCCGGACAGGUAGCACCUUGUCCACACCCGCCUGCCACCUGCCCCGGGGGCCCCAGGGCGCCCCAGGGCGCCCCAGGGAGGCGGAGGGGGGUCCACAGCAGAACCUUCCAGUUAUAUGUAAGGCAGAGAGAUGUGACACAGCAUCGUGCAAUGGCGAAGGACGACCACACUAUUGUGUGUCUGAAAUGAAUAUAACGUCAUACGUCAACUAUGCUUCAAUUAAAAAGUUUUCUCAUUAAAAGAAAAAUUUUGUGAUAGUAAUAUGAAGAAAAUCCAUGAACAAAUGAAUGAGAAACAUUUUGCAGCGAUUUAAAAGUACUGUGUUCCUCCUUCCUCAAUGAUUUUGAUUUCUGCUUCCUCAAAAGGGCUCAAUAAUGCUUUUUCACGGAGAACUUGGGAACAGGAGAAGAAAUGCAAGGGAGGGAUUGACACAAAAGGCAGGAUAAUGUCUCCUCUGGAGGGACAGGGUGUGGAGCGGGGACGCCUGGGGGUCCUCUGUGGUGCAUGUGUCCUGAUCUGUUCUUGUUUACCCACGUUACUGAGGUACAACUGUGUACAAAAAACUGUACGCACUGAAUACGCCCACUGUAUACACCCGCUCUAUACACCCACUGUAUACUGCUAGAUGAGGUUGGAGAUAAGUGGCCACCUGUGAACCCAUUAUGACAUUCUGUGGCAUAAACCUGUCCUCUCCUCCUGCCCUCUUCGUUAAUUUUCGUAUUCUUGAUAAGAACGCACGACGUGAGAUCUGCCUGCUUUCUGAUUGGCAGGCAGACGGCACAGUUGUUAACCACGGGCAGUGCACGACCUACGGUUCUUCGUACCCUUGACUGAUGACCCCCCCUUGUUCUCUUGUGAUCCUCUAAGUCCUAGACAUAUAUAUCAUGCUCUG